GUCGGCGUGGCGGAAUUGGUAGACGCGUACGGUUGAGGGCCGUAUGAGCUUUGCUCGUGGAGGUUCAAGUCCUCUCGCCGACA
RNAcentral lists this transfer RNA (83 nucleotides) under Euzebya tangerina. RNAcentral's name for it is "tRNA-Leu". It matches the Rfam family "tRNA". From Rfam's summary of the family: Transfer RNA (tRNA) molecules are approximately 80 nucleotides in length. Their secondary structure includes four short double-helical elements and three loops (D, anti-codon, and T loops). Further hydrogen bonds mediate the characteristic L-shaped molecular structure. tRNAs have two regions of fundamental functional importance: the anti-codon, which is responsible for specific mRNA codon recognition, and the 3' end, to which the tRNAs corresponding amino acid is attached (by aminoacyl-tRNA synthetases). tRNAs cope with the degeneracy of the genetic code in two manners: having more than one tRNA (with a specific anti-codon) for a particular amino acid; and 'wobble' base-pairing, i.e. permitting non-standard base-pairing at the 3rd anti-codon position. The record is from RNAcentral. Lineage: Bacteria; Bacillati; Actinomycetota; Nitriliruptoria; Euzebyales; Euzebyaceae. RNAcentral also lists the same sequence under 2 other names.